Molecule: ribosomal RNA, 1246 nt
Filed under: Carrot yellows phytoplasma
Lineage: Bacteria; Bacillati; Mycoplasmatota; Mollicutes; Acholeplasmatales; Acholeplasmataceae
Description: bacterial SSU rRNA
Rfam family: Bacterial small subunit ribosomal RNA
Source: RNAcentral
GAAACUACUGCUAAGACUGGAUAGGAGACAAGAAGGCAUCUUCUUGUUUUUAAAAGACCUAGCAAUAGGUAUGCUUAGGGAGGAGCUUGCGUCACAUUAGUUAGUUGGUGGGGUAAAGGCCUACCAAGACUAUGAUGUGUAGCCGGGCUGAGAGGUUGAACGGCCACAUUGGGACUGAGACACGGCCCAAACUCCUACGGGAGGCAGCAGUAGGGAAUUUUCGGCAAUGGAGGAAACUCUGACCGAGCAACGCCGCGUGAACGAUGAAGUAUUUCGGUACGUAAAGUUCUUUUAUUAGGGAAGAAUAAAUGAUGGAAAAAUCAUUCUGACGGUACCUAAUGAAUAAGCCCCGGCUAACUAUGUGCCAGCAGCCGCGGUAAUACAUAGGGGGCAAGCGUUAUCCGGAAUUAUUGGGCGUAAAGGGUGCGUAGGCGGUUAAAUAAGUUUAUGGUCUAAGUGCAAUGCUCAACAUUGUGAUGCUAUAAAAACUGUUUAGCUAGAGUAAGAUAGAGGCAAGUGGAAUUCCAUGUGUAGUGGUAAAAUGCGUAAAUAUAUGGAGGAACACCAGUAGCGAAGGCGGCUUGCUGGGUCUUUACUGACGCUGAGGCACGAAAGCGUGGGGAGCAAACAGGAUUAGAUACCCUGGUAGUCCACGCCGUAAACGAUGAGUACUAAACGUUGGGUAAAACCAGUGUUGAAGUUAACACAUUAAGUACUCCGCCUGAGUAGUACGUACGCAAGUAUGAAACUUAAAGGAAUUGACGGGACUCCGCACAAGCGGUGGAUCAUGUUGUUUAAUUCGAAGGUACCCGAAAAACCUCACCAGGUCUUGACAUGCUUCUGCAAAGCUGUAGAAACACAGUGGAGGUUAUCAGUUGCACAGGUGNUGCAUGGUUGUCGUCAGCUCGUGUCGUGAGAUGUUGGGUUAAGUCCCGCAACGAGCGCAACCCUUAUUGUUAGUUACCAGCACGUAAUGGUGGGGACUUUAGCAAGACUGCCAGUGAUAAAUUGGAGGAAGGUGGGGACGACGUCAAAUCAUCAUGCCCCUUAUGACCUGGGCUACAAACGUGAUACAAUGGCUGUUACAAAGGGUAGCUGAAGCGCAAGUUUUUGGCGAAUCUCAAAAAAACAGUCUCAGUUCGGAUUGAAGUCUGCAACUCGACUUCAUGAAGUUGGAAUCGCUAGUAAUCGCGAAUCAGCAUGUCGCGGUGAAUACGUUCUCGGGGUUUGUACACACCGCCCGUCA